Molecule: ribosomal RNA, 169 nt
Filed under: uncultured bacterium
Lineage: Bacteria
Description: partial 16S rRNA
Rfam family: Bacterial small subunit ribosomal RNA
Source: RNAcentral
CAGGUAGGGAAUCUUCCACAAUGGGCGCAAGCCUGACCGAGCAACGCCGCGUGAGUGAAGAAGGUUUUCGGAUCGUAAAGCUCUGUUGUAAGAGAAGAACGUGUGUGAGAGUGGAAAGUUCACACAGUGACGGUAACUUACCAGAAAGGGACGGCUAACUACGUGCCAG